Molecule: ribosomal RNA, 1500 nt
Filed under: metagenome
Description: bacterial SSU rRNA
Rfam family: Bacterial small subunit ribosomal RNA
Source: RNAcentral
AGAGUUUGAUCCUGGCUCAGGAUGAACGCUAGCUACAGGCUUAACACAUGCAAGUCGAGGGGAAACGAUAUUGGAAGCUUGCUUCCGAUAGGCGUCGACCGGCGCACGGGUGAGUAACGCGUAUCCAACCUGCCCACCACUUGGGGAUAACCUUGCGAAAGUAAGACUAAUACCCAAUGACGUCUCUAGAAGACAUCUGAAGGAGAUUAAAGAUUUAUCGGUGAUGGAUGGGGAUGCGUCUGAUUAGCUUGUUGGCGGGGUAACGGCCCACCAAGGCAACGAUCAGUAGGGGUUCUGAGAGGAAGGUCCCCCACAUUGGAACUGAGACACGGUCCAAACUCCUACGGGAGGCAGCAGUGAGGAAUAUUGGUCAAUGGGCGAGAGCCUGAACCAGCCAAGUAGCGUGCAGGAAGACGGCCCUAUGGGUUGUAAACUGCUUUUAUAAGGGAAUAAAGUUAGUCUCGUGAGACUUUUUGCAUGUACCUUAUGAAUAAGGACCGGCUAAUUCCGUGCCAGCAGCCGCGGUAAUACGGAAGGUCCGGGCGUUAUCCGGAUUUAUUGGGUUUAAAGGGAGCGUAGGCCGGAGAUUAAGCGUGUUGUGAAAUGUAGACGCUCAACGUCUGCACUGCAGCGCGAACUGGUUUCCUUGAGUACGCACAAAGUGGGCGGAAUUCGUGGUGUAGCGGUGAAAUGCUUAGAUAUCACGAAGAGCUCCGAUUGCGAAGGCAGCUCACUGGAGCGCAACUGACGCUGAAGCUCGAAAGUGCGGGUAUCGAACAGGAUUAGAUACCCUGGUAGUCCGCACGGUAAACGAUGGAUGCCCGCUGUUGGUCUGAACAGGUCAGCGGCCAAGCGAAAGCAUUAAGCAUCCCACCUGGGGAGUACGUUCGCAAGAAUGAAACUCAAAGGAAUUGACGGGGACCCGCACAAGCGGUGGAGCAUGUGGUUUAAUUCGAAGCAACGCGAAGAACCUUACCAGGUCUUGACAUCCUUCUGACCGCACCUUAAUCGGUGCUUUCCUUCGGGACAGAAGAGACAGGUGGUGCAUGGUUGUCGUCAGCUCGUGUCGUGAGAUGUUGGGUUAAGUCCCGCAACGAGCGCAACCCCUAUCUUCAGUAGCCAGCAGGUGAAGCUGGGCACUCUGGAGAGACUGCCAGGGAUAACCUGGAGGAAGGUGGGGACGACGUCAAAUCAUCAUGCCCCUUAUGAUCUGGGCGACACACGUGCUACAAUGGCGGUCACAGAGUGAGGCGAACCCGCGAGGGGGAGCAAACCACAAAAAGGCCGUCCCAGUUGGGACUGUAGUCUGCAACCCGACUACACGAAGCUGGAAUCGCUAGUAAUCGCGAAUCAGAAUGUCGCGGUGAAUACGUUCCCGGGUCUUGUACACACCGCCCGUCACACCAUGGGAGUCGGAAAUGCCCGAAGCCAGUGACCCAACCUUUUGGAGGGAGCUGUCGAAGGUGGAGCCGGUAACUGGGGUGAAGUCGUAACAAGGUA